CCCUUUUUCUAACCAAACCCUCAUUUAACCCUCUUAAAAUAAAUAAAAAGAUUUUGUGAAGCUUGAAAAGAGUUUUCCUUUUAGAACGUGACAAAAAAAAUUGUUCAGAAGGAUUAUAACUCAGAGUUGCUACCUCACUUCGAUUUCGGUGUGCCAGGCCAUCGGUUUUUUAGAAAAUGUUUUCCUUUUAAAACACUCUGACUCAAAACUAAGUCCGCACCAGAGGUUUGGGUAAGGGGGUUCAUUUGACUCGGGGAGAAGUUAUUUGGCACUCCCCAAGUCUCGUAACUAGUACGAUUGCGUACCCGAUUUAGUUGGAUUUAGAAUAUUCGAAUUGAGAUAAAAAAACACAUAAAAGAAAAAACAAACACACAAGAGGUUCGAGAUCGUUCCCACCUAAUAAAGGAAAAUAAAACUGAAACUAAAAAUACUACGAGUUUCACUUUAGGCCUCCAAAUACAAGUACUCCGAGGCAUUCCCUGGAAUAAAGUAUAUACAGAACCUUCGGGGCAUUCCCCGGAUAAAUUUAACUAAGGGGACAACCUCUCGCCUCAAAAGCUAACAAACAAUUCUAAGGCUUGCCUACCCAAGCGCGGUCGGCCUAAGCAUGCUACUAUCGAUCAAAUUCAUGAAAGUAAGAAUAAAAGAGUAACAAGAUUAUCUAAGCCCGAUUUCCUCCACGUUUAAAAAGGCUAACCCCCACAACUAAACAACUAGAACUCCAUUCAAUCUUAAAAUGACUCAACUCGCAGCAACAAAGGAAUUCGACAUGGACAUACUACUAAUAACAGGUGAACGACUAAAAAAGAAUACUAAAAAAUUAAAAGGUAAAGCAAAUGAAUAAAAUGAUAAGAUCUAUGAGGCACCUCCCUGGACAAACUAACAUCCUAACUCAAUUCAAAAUUCAAAUAUUUUCAUUAGUACUACUCAAAUGCCACCCACGUCACAUGCUUCGCACAAAGAAUUCAAUGAACAGGUUCUAAAGAAAUGCAUAAAAAGUUAACAUUCACACAAACUACCAAUAGUAUUUGCACGAUAGCAUUCAUCUAGUAACAAAAGAACCUAACCCGAGCUCUGAAUAAGUUCUUGACCCCAAUAAAUCUUUCAACCCCAAAAUCACAAACUCAAGCAGGUUAAUCUCAUAUCAGAUACAUUUAUUCAAAAUGUGACAGUCCCACAGGGUAAGUUCAAAAAUUUAAAGGACCUCCAAUUUAUCAAACACAACAACUAACCCUUCAAUGACAAAGAUCAUGGAAUUCCCGAUCAUGUAGAACUUCAGAACUUUGUACCAACUUCUCAAUCAGACCAUUUCAGUUCCUUAACGUUGAAUUUCUGUUGUUUAAAAAUGAAGCUAAAUGCAGAUAGAGCCAUGAAGAAGAGUUAGAUGAAUCUGAGCCCUCAUGAUCCUCAUAUAGUUACUCCAGUUACACAUUGAGACACCAUCACAAACAUUCCACUAUUAGCGUAUUCGACUUGAUUAUGCUGGCAAAACAAGCUUACAAGAUCGAAAGCAAAGAAUCAGUCGUUUUAAACUUAUUCAUGUAAACGAUCGCUUAGUCAACAGGAAGAGUGAAGCUCAAAACAUUUUACGAUUUCAAACAGGGAAGUCGAUCAACUUAAACCUCACCAAAUGGACAUAACAUUCUGAAUCUAAUGUGUAAAUAUUCUGCCACUUUUGAUACCCAAGAAACUAGUUCAACCACAAAAUAGCAACAGAACUCCUCAACUGAUCUCAAAGUAAAAUCCAUUCAAAAUCUAGCAUGAAUACUAAGUAAUCAUUUGAAACACAUGAAAACUGAGGAGAAUACAAACCAACAGAAAGGAACGGAUCAUACGUCAAUAAUUCGAAGACGAAUGAAUGUAAUCUGGAGACUCGAAUACAAUCUGAACGUUCCUAUAUUCAAUUACUCUUAUUCAGACAUAUCAGACAACAAGAUAUUGCAUUGAACAACAAGCAUAGAUCGAAAAAUAUCUUUCAAACACAAGUCACAAUCAGAAACUGACUCCGAACACAACCUCUACUAAAAUACAAUCAAAUAUCUAUCACUAUGGAGGUUAGUUCUUUAUAGCUCUUAUCAUACUUAAAGAUACUAAGAAGUGAGAUCAUUGGGGGAAGAAAUGCACCUGAAAACUGAAAUUUCAAUUUCUUCAAAGGUUCAGCAGUUACACGAGCAUAACAAAAUCGCGACUACAACGGGAACUCGAAGCGGACAAGAGCUUGGACGGAACUUCAGAUUGGCGACUGAUAUCGAACCUCAAAUCUCAACUAAACUCCAUUUCAAACAAGAAAACAGAAGAAGGAACUAAUUGUUUCUCUCUUUUUUGUAUUUUCUCACUUUGAAGUGAAAUUCGAAUUAGAAGAAACUAAUUUUUUUUGUUCUUUUAGGUAUGAAAAUGAAAAAAAAUAGAAUCAAAUAACACUCAGAGAACUCCAAUUUUUGAAUGAAUUGAAAUUUGAAAAACAAACAAAAAUCCGAAAAAAUCCUAGCCUUUUCCUCUCACCCCUAAUUUUUCCGUCGUGAACCCCAAAAAUCUGAGAAAUCACCCCAAUAUAUAGGGGUUCUCGAAUCUUCUAUUCUUAUUCACCAAGAAAUCCCCCAAAACCCCGAAUUUGCCCUUUAAUUAUUUUCGAAAAUCCCUUCUCACAAACAAAAAUCAGAAAAAUGGAGACGUGGGACAAAAUCUUCAUCCUACGGUUCCAUUUCUACGAGAUUUAUUCAAGGGUCUUAAAUUUGCUUCCAAAUCGAUUGAAAAAAGAAAGGAAAAUGCAUACUUCAUGAUUACGAACACGUAGAAGAAGGAGAGGGGAAUAGAGGGAGGACCAUGGGGGACCAUGUGAUGAGUUUGGGUGAGUGACUCGUCCAAUUCCGGCGAGUCCGAGGCGGGCAGAGAUGGUAAUAGGGUGGGGGUGCCGAUUUGGGUGGUCUCUUCCCCAAGCUCAA
This 2942-nucleotide long non-coding RNA is filed under the name Nicotiana benthamiana. RNAcentral's name for it is "long non-coding RNA (NBEN_LNC037862)". The record is from RNAcentral. Lineage: Eukaryota; Viridiplantae; Streptophyta; Magnoliopsida; Solanales; Solanaceae.